GCUGGGGUGGUGGCUCAGUGGUAGUAUGCUUGUCUAGCAUGUGUGAGGCACUGGGUUUGAUUCUCAGGACCACAUAUAAAUAAAUAAAGGUCCAUUGACAACUAAAAACUAUUUUUUAAAAAACUUGUACCAAUAGCAAUCACCACUAUCAUCCCUCCCUCCAGCUCUAAAGGAAACACUGAUCUACUUUCUGUUCCUAUGUAUUUGUAUAUUCUGGAAAUUUAACUGAAAUUUGUGCUUCUUUCAUUUAGCAUAGGUUUGUCCAAGUUGUUAUAUCUAUCAGAACUUCACUCCUUUUAUUAUUGAAUUUACACUGUAUGGACAUACCAGAUUGUGUUUAGCCAUUCAUCAGUUGAUAGGCAUUUGGAUUGUUUUGUGCACAAUUUGAACUUGACUCAAGAUUUUUGCAUGCUUCCCCUUGCCAAAUCCUAUGUUUCUUAACCUCUCUUCAUAAAAGAGUGCUUGUUAGGGACAUAAGAUACACAAAGCCUAUGGAAUUGACUCUCUCAGGUUAUACAGGCCAAUUGAAACCUUUCCUUGGGUGAUGAGAAUCCUCCAAGUGUCUAGAUAGUCAGGAGCUCUGGAGGAUGCAGGAUCAACUGCCAACAGACAGCUUGGAGCACAGGAUUUUAACAGUUCCUAGUAAUAGAUAAUUUAAACUAGCAAAACAGUUUUUGUCUCUUAUAGUGUUUCUCCCCUGCCCCCAUACUGGGGAUUAAGCCCAGUGGUGCUUUACCACUGGCUACAUCCCCAGCCCUUUUUAUUUCUCAUUGUGGGACAGGGUCUUGAUGAAUUGCAGAAGCUGUCCUGAAACUUGCAGUCCUCCUGCCUCAGCCUCCCAAGUCACUGGGAUUACAAGCAAUUACAGGCCACCACACCCAGCUGUCUGUCAUGGUUUCUGACAGUCUCCCCAAACUUCCCUUGAGAAACACUGAAAACUCUUUAAUCUGGGGCGUACUGGCGUAUUA
This 968-nucleotide long non-coding RNA is filed under the name Marmota monax (woodchuck). The record is from RNAcentral. Lineage: Eukaryota; Metazoa; Chordata; Mammalia; Rodentia; Sciuridae.